Long non-coding RNA from Symphalangus syndactylus (siamang), 318 nucleotides. RefSeq lists it as uncharacterized. NCBI's taxonomy places the organism in Eukaryota, Metazoa, Chordata, Mammalia, Primates, Hylobatidae. The record is from RefSeq and is a predicted model, not a curated record.
AUUUACAAGUGGAAUCACCAAUCCAUUAAUAAAUCAUUCUGAAGCCCCACAGUCUGUAGUCCUUCAUUAUGGAGCCACGCGAUGAUGGGGCUGUGGCACUGGCUUGGCAGCAUGAUGGAGUGAAACACUCCUCAGGAGUUCAUCUAGCCCAUCUUCUUGCCUCUGAGCAUCUUUCCUGGAUGAGUACUUUAAAAAAAUGGUGUAACGAGAAGAGACCCUCAGCAGAACGCUCAGAAUGAUGAGAGGAGAUCCGAGAACUGUGGGGAAAACAACCGCACCAAAAUAUCCAUUCAUCACCAUUUUCUCAGCACCAUUGUG